ACGGGAGGAAGCAGUGGGGAAUUUUGGACAAUGGGCGCAAGCGUGAUCCAGCCAUGCCGCGUGUCUGAAGAAGGCCUUCGGGUUGUAAAGGACUUUUGUCAGGGAGGAAAUCCCUAAGGUUAAUACCCUUGGGGGAUGAGAGUACCGGAAGAAUAAGCACCGGCUAACUACGUGCCAGCAGCCGCGGUAAUACGUAGGGUGCAAGCGUUAAUCGGAAUUACUGGGCGUAAAGCGUGCGCAGGCGGUUGUGUAAGUCUGAUGUGAAAGCCCCGGGCUCAACCUGGGAACUGCAUUGGAGACUGCACGACUAGAGUGCGUCAGAGGGGGGUAGAAUUCCGCGUGUAGCAGUGAAAUGCGUAGAGAUGCGGAGGAAUACCGAUGGCGAAGGCAGCCCCCUGGGAUGACACUGACGCUCAUGCACGAAAGCGUGGGGAGCAAACAGGAUUAGAUACCCUGGUAGUCCACGCCCUAAACGAUGUCAACUAGCUGUUGGGGGUUUGAAUCCUUGGUAGCGUAGCUAACGCGAGAAGUUGACCGCCUGGG
Molecule: ribosomal RNA, 543 nt
Filed under: uncultured Aquitalea sp.
Lineage: Bacteria; Pseudomonadati; Pseudomonadota; Betaproteobacteria; Neisseriales; Chromobacteriaceae
Description: bacterial SSU rRNA
Rfam family: Bacterial small subunit ribosomal RNA
Source: RNAcentral